RNAcentral lists this non-coding RNA (30 nucleotides) under Mus musculus (house mouse). The record is from RNAcentral. Lineage: Eukaryota; Metazoa; Chordata; Mammalia; Rodentia; Muridae.
UCCAAGAAACGUCAUUGGUAACUGGCCAGU